AGACUUGCAAGUUCGAGAGGUAGAAGUUGGACGAUUGAGUAUACUUCCAGGUACAGGGAGACAGACAGGUGGUCCAGCUCAGUAGGACCUCUAGAUCUAGCAGUGGUCAGUACGCUCCAUUCGAUCCGGAGCUACAGUCAGUUUUGGUAUGCCCCUUUUGAGAUGUGUAUGCAUAUGGGUAUGACGGGGCCCUGUCCCGUCCUUUCUACAGCUUUUAUUCCAGUAGAGGUCUGUAGACAGUUGUAUGUAGUAGUCAGAUGAUGUAGCCUUGUCGGCUUUUAUUCUUUUGUGUACAGUAUAUGUAGCAGCCUAGCUAGCUUGCACUGUUCUUCCGCA
Molecule: long non-coding RNA, 336 nt
Organism: Lycium ferocissimum
Lineage: Eukaryota; Viridiplantae; Streptophyta; Magnoliopsida; Solanales; Solanaceae
Exons: 2
Source: RefSeq, a predicted model, not a curated record